Molecule: RNA transcript, 1006 nt
Organism: Syzygium oleosum
Lineage: Eukaryota; Viridiplantae; Streptophyta; Magnoliopsida; Myrtales; Myrtaceae
Exons: 4
Source: RefSeq, a predicted model, not a curated record
CGAGGGGAUUAGUUAUUAAUCGUUGUGUGCUUAUGCAUAGGUAUAGUAAUAUAUCUGUUCGGCGUGAUGAUGGACAGUGUAUCUGUUCGGUGUGACUCGGUUGUUUUAGGCUAUCAUUUCGAUCAUGCUGCACAUAUACAGUAUGGUAUUGAAGGAAUAAGCAAAAUAAAUGUCCUGAGAUUGAGUUAUUAAUGAUCUAUUUUGGUCGAUGGGAUCCUAAAUGUUUUAGGUUUUGGUCAAUUGUACGCAUGAUGCAGCAACCUUUAAUAAUUCAAGAUGUGAGUUUAAUAUUGCGCUGUACUCUAACAAGCUAAGUUUCUGGAGUAAUUGGUUGUGCAUGUAAUUUAUUUAACACUUCACUCGGAGAAGUAGGAGUAGAGAAAUCGCACAACAAGUCGGUGUUUGCUUUGAGUGGGUUAUCAUGAUGAACAUGAUUCCGCCAGGGGUUUCUUAUAAUGUUACUACUUGCCUCUCUAAUGGAACUUCAUUUUCUUUCAUGAUCUCUCCAGCUGCUUUACUCAGUUCGAAUCUGAUAUCUCUGGUCGAUUUGUCGGCUUUUCUUAUCAUGCAGUUCGAUGGUUCAAAAGCAGAUUGUAUUCCUAUGCCCCCUCUACGUCUCUUUUACUCGUGCUGUCUACGUCCCCUCUACUUGAGCCAUUGAAAAUGUGCUGGAAGCACUCCACUUCAUUAUGCUGCUUGUGGUGGAAGUGUGCAGUGUUGUCAGAAGAACGGCUUUGAGCAAUUCUGCAUAAGUUAUGCAAAUGAGAGGUUGCAACAACAUUUCAACCGGCAUUUGUUAAAACUGGAGCAGGAAGUGAGCAUCUCACAUGGACCGUGUCUUUAGUUUUGUUCAGUAUUUUAUAUGAUGGGGAUUGUCGCUAAAAGCAGGAUAUUCUUUUUUGAUUCAGAUCUGUCGUCAUUAUUUAUUUUGCAAGAUUAUUUAUUCUCUCAUUAUGUGUACUAUAAAGAAAAAUAUUUAUGUCAUUCUUGUGGAAAAUGUAGAUGA